This 227-nucleotide unclassified non-coding RNA is filed under the name rhizosphere metagenome. Its description in RNAcentral is "partial ribosomal RNA internal transcribed spacer region". The record is from RNAcentral.
GUAGGUGAACCUGCGGAAGGAUCAUUACCGAGAUGGGGUCCCUCGGGGCCCGACCUCCAACCCUCUAUCUAUACACCUCUGUUGCUUCGGCGCGCCGCGAAGCUCGCUUCGCCGUCGGCCCUCGGGCUCUCGAGUGCGCGCCAGAGACCUCCAAAAACCAGUUUAAUCGAGCUAUCUGAGUCUGAUUUAAUACUUCAAAACUUUCAACAACGGAUCUCUUGGUUCUG